AUGGCUAAAAGCACAUGCCUCGAAGCUACGGUUAGAUUUUCUACUACAAUGGUCAAAGUGUUUGGACCGGAGUACUAUAGAGAACCAAAUGUUGCAGACACAACAAAGCUCAUAGCACUUGGAGAAUCAAUUUCCAGAGAUGCUCGCAUCCUUGGAUUGCAUGCACUCAAAAUGGAAGAAGUGCCCAUAUGCUCAACAAGGGCAGUACCAGGGCCAUUGCAAAAAAUCCCACCAUCAUUUUUGAAGCAGUUGCAUCGCAAGACCUGUAUAUUUGACAUUCUUUCUUUGGCAUGCCUGGGUCUCACAAUGACAUCAACGUGUUGCAGUGAUCUUCAUUGUUUGCAAGGUUGUGUGUGGACGAAGCUCCUACGUGCAACUAUGCCAUCAAUGGUCAUGAUUACAACAUGGGGUACUAUUUUUGUGUAG
This 426-nucleotide ribosomal RNA is filed under the name Triticum aestivum (bread wheat). RNAcentral describes it as "partial small subunit ribosomal RNA". Lineage: Eukaryota; Viridiplantae; Streptophyta; Magnoliopsida; Poales; Poaceae. The record is from RNAcentral.